RNAcentral lists this ribosomal RNA (472 nucleotides) under uncultured bacterium. Its description in RNAcentral is "bacterial SSU rRNA". It matches the Rfam family "Bacterial small subunit ribosomal RNA", at positions 355 to 825 of the family's 1533-position model. The record is from RNAcentral.
UGGGGAAUUUUGGACAAUGGGGGCAACCCUGAUCCAGCCAUGCCGCGUGAGUGAAGAAGGCCUUCGGGUUGUAAAGCUCUUUCGGACGGAACGAAAUGGUUACGGAUAAUACCUGUGACUGAUGACGGUACUGUAAGAAGAAGCACCGGCUAACUACGUGCCAGCAGCCGCGGUAAUACGUAGGGUGCGAGCGUUAAUCGGAAUUACUGGGCGUAAAGCGUGCGCAGGCGGUUCGCCAAGUCAGGUGUGAAAUCCCCGGGCUUAACCUGGGAAUUGCGCUUGAAACUAGCGGGCUUGAGUGUGGCAGAGGGGGGUGGAAUUCCACGUGUAGCAGUGAAAUGCGUAGAGAUGUGGAGGAACACCGAUGGCGAAGGCAGCCCCCUGGGUCAACACUGACGCUCAUGCACGAAAGCGUGGGGAGCAAACAGGAUUAGAUACCCAGGUAGUCCCUGAGCGGGCUGGCAAGGCGCAU